RNAcentral lists this unclassified non-coding RNA (988 nucleotides) under Hevea brasiliensis (rubber tree). Lineage: Eukaryota; Viridiplantae; Streptophyta; Magnoliopsida; Malpighiales; Euphorbiaceae. The record is from RNAcentral.
CGAGAACCUCUGCCGAUCCCGCGCCCUUGAAACCUACCGCCUCGACCCCGCCAAGUGGGGCGUCAAUGUCCAGCCCUACAGCGGCAGCCCAGCGAACUUCGCCGCCUACACGGCGCUUCUCAACCCCCAUGAUCGGAUCAUGGGGCUGGAUCUGCCGUCAGGCGGGCAUCUCACCCAUGGAUACUACACAUCCGGGGGGAAGAAGAUCUCGGCGACCUCGAUCUACUUCGAGAGCUUGCCGUAUAAGGUGAGCUUCGAGACGGGAUACAUCGACUACGACAAGCUGGAGGAGAAGGCGUUGGACUUCCGCCCCAAGCUGAUUAUCUGCGGCGGGAGUGCGUAUCCGAGGGAUUGGGAUUAUGCGAGGUUCAGAUCAGUCGCCGACAAGGUCGGAGCGCUGCUGCUCUGUGAUAUGGCGCACAUCAGUGGCCUUGUUGCAGCUCAGGAAGCAAAGGACCCUUUCGAGUACUGUGAUAUUGUCACCACCACGACCCACAAGAGUCUCCGAGGGCCGAGAUCCGGCAUGAUCUUCUACAGGAAGGGCCCGAAGCCGGCCAAGAAAGGCCAGCCUGAAGGCGCUUUGUAUGACUACGAAGACAAGAUAAACUUCGCCGUGUUCCCAUCCCUUCAGGGUGGCCCUCACAACCACCAGAUCGCUGCACUUGCUGUUGCCCUGAAGCAGGCAAUGUCACCUGGAUUCAAAGCCUAUGCCAAGCAAGUGAAGGCCAAUGCUGUUGCCGUCGGAGAAUAUUUGAAGAGCAAGGGGUACAAGAUCGUUACUGAUGGCACCGAGAACCACCUUGUCUUGUGGGAUCUCAGACCCCUUGGCCUAACUGGCAACAAGGUCGAGAAGCUCUGUGAUCUGGCCAACAUCACAGUGAACAAGAAUGCUGUGUUUGGUGAUAGUAGUGCAUUGGCUCCCGGUGGUGUUCGUAUCGGGACUCCUGCCAUGACUUCGAGGGGUUUGGUUGAGAAGGACUUUGAGCAG